AGGAUCGUAUCCGGAUUGGAAACUUUAAUUGGCUCUCCAAUGUAGAGUUUGAGUAACUAGAAUCCAAGGAAAUAUUCGAGUCAAAAGUUCAAUGCAGCCAAGGUAUUCCGGUCGUAGUUGAUGGUGUUGUAGAAAUGUACUUGAGAUAUUAUGACUGAAGCUCGCUGCGACGGUCAUAAUUGUGGGAUUAUGGGCGUUCUCUAUUUUAUAGGUUUGGUAUAUGUAUUGUGACGCUUAUGUCACAUAUUAUUUGUAAAGUCAUUCUUUGAUGCAAUUAUUAUUUGGAUAAGCCUUAAACAGAUAGACAUUAUGGCUCUUUUUGUGUAAAUAUCAGUUUAUGUUUAUAGAUGUGACUUCUGCUGUUCAGAUUAUGUUUUCCGCUGCAUAAAUGUUAUUAGGUGUGUUACUCUGAUUAUCAGGUAUAUAUUAUGGGGUAUGUACCGUAUGUUGGUUUUA
Long non-coding RNA from Alnus glutinosa, 456 nucleotides. RefSeq lists it as uncharacterized. The record is from RefSeq and is a predicted model, not a curated record. The transcript is spliced from 2 exons. NCBI's taxonomy places the organism in Eukaryota, Viridiplantae, Streptophyta, Magnoliopsida, Fagales, Betulaceae.